AGGUUCCGCGGACGGAAGGCAGGCGCCCGGUCUAGGACGUCAUCGCGCUGACGCCGGCGUCCGCUCGGCCCCGCCUGCUCCGUUGAAAGUGCCGGACUCAACAUGGCGGCGCGCGCUCCGCCCGCUUCACCGCGGUGUUUCUUCUCGCGCGGCCGAUCCCGAAGACAUCCUAACAACUAUGCAUAGUACAACUGCAUUAUGCUGAAUUCUUGACUCCAUUAGGAUUUAGUGAAGGGUAGGGGGAGUGCCUAUCAAGAAAUGGAGAAGGACGUGCUGUUCAAUCUUUCAUACUUCCGCUGCCUUUUAACUCUCUGGUAGGGUGUGGUCUUCCUAAGAGAGCAUCCUCCAGGGAUCUUACUGGAAAGGAGGAACCCCAGGCCUCAAAUCUCCUGAAGCAGAGUCUGCGCUUUAGCAGAAUCCCCAGAGGUUGCUCUGCAUGCUAAAGUUGGCAAAGCCCUGGCCUAAGGCCUGGGGUGGUCUGGCUUAAAGUGAUGUGGGGGCAUCACAAAUGUAAGAAGAGAUAAGGUCCGCAGGGCCAAAAUCUAUGGUGGCAGGGCCAGCUGCUUACUGCAUUUGGGCACUGACAGCACGUUGAGAAGAGGGCAACAGAGGCCGAGAUGGUUGGUUGAUGGCAUCAUCGACCCAAUGGGCAUGAGUUUAAGCAAAGUCCAGGAGAUAGGGAAGGACAGGGAAGCCUGGUGUGCUGCAGUCCAGUGGCGUCGCAGAGUCGGACAUGGCUGAGCAACAACAGCAAAAACAAGCACGUCGAUUCUCAGAAGACAGAUGAGAAAUGUGUCCCUGGGCCAGCAAGGAUGAACACCACGACUUUGAGAUCCUUUGUUAAAAGGGAAAAGGAGAUCACCUGCCGGCCCUCUUCAGAGAGGAGAGACUCCCUUGGACAAGAGAGGCAGGCUGCCAAAGCCCACGGAAUGCGCUUCUGAUAUUCAGGAAAAGUUUGCUGACCUCCUGAAAGACCCUGACGCUACUCAGGGUCUCCGUUUGACUGUCUCACCUGUGAAUUUCUCCGUGAUGGAUUCUAGUCCAGCAUCUCUUUCCCAAAAUACCUUUUACCAGCUGCGUGUGGAAAAGACAGUAUUUGAACUGUGCCUGCCGUGACUCAAGAACUGAGCUUUCAAUUUUAUUUAGUGGUGAGUGAAACCCAGCCCCAGCGACCUGCAGAAAGAGGCGACUUUGACUUCUCUCCCGUUGAGAGGCGCCGGUCCAUCAAAAGAUCCAAGGAUACCCCUAAGGCUUUGCCCUGAUGACUGAGCUGCACGGGGAGAGCAUUGUUUCAGCUCCGGCCACAUGAAUCAGGCCCUUGCCACAGCUCGGGAAGGAAUUUUUUCACUCAACGCAUUCAAAACCCAGCAUUUCACGGAAUUCGGCCGCCAGUGAAAACAAUGGGCGGCCUUGUCAGUGGCGACCGCAUUCAAAGUUAAUGGGCUUGAAGGAGCCUUUCGGGGGUGGUGGUGGUGGGGUGGGUGCCCGUCAGAGGACCCGGGAGCUGAGGCCCACACCCACCCCUGGCCGCCCAGUCUUCAGCAGCCGAGGGCGCAGUAUGAGAUUCCUGGGGCCGGCUCACCAGCCUGCAGACAGGUCGGCAGUGUUCUCAGGGGCCUGCGCCCGGGAUCUAAGGCGCAUCCUCAUAGACUGUGAUAAAGCAAUCCGCCCCCUCCCCCCGCCACCCCCUGAUCAGAUGCAGGGGUCAGCCACGAGGUGGGUAACGGGGGACUGUGCCCCCCACCCCGCGCUUCAUGCUGCCUUCAUGCCGAGGUCACCCUGGCCCCGAUUUUCCCGCCUGCCAGGGAAUAGAGCCCUCCAACAAAUUUAUGAAGUCCCCGGUAAUUUGCAAUUCAUGUGCCGCUUUGCAAGUCUGGAGGACUUGGUGAACACCACGCCCUCGUCACACAAAGGCCUCUAAGCAAGGGGAAGAGUCUAGACAGCCAGGGCAGGGGCCGGGGGUGGGGGUGGGGUGCAGGAAUCCCUUCGAAAUCCUCGGGUAACCCCUUCAGGUAGCCUUUGAUGCAAAACCAUAUGGAAAUUUGGUCUUUAGACUUUGGAUCACUUGCUUUUUUUUUUUUUUUUCCUUUUUGGAAGUUUGUUUAAUUCCAAAUUGUAUUUUACAUAUUGUGACGUGCCAUGCCAUGCCUUAAGACUGUCUCUGCAAGUUACUGAUGAAGACAUCACAUCAACGUCCUACCAUCAUACACAUCUCAUUUACUGAGCUCUGCAGACGGAGGUAUUCUGGCUCUGACAGGGUCUUCCUCCCCCCAGCUCUCUGGAAAAUUUCACAUUCCGGGCACCUCCUCUUCGGACAAGGGUGUCUUGUGUCUUCGAGUCCAGUUGGAGAGCCUGGCAGGCAAACAACACGGGCUAUUCAGUCCCGGAGCCGCUUUACACAUGCACGGCCGAAGCCAAGGCCAAGGCGUCGUCAUCGUCCCAGACGUGCUGGUUCACAGGCAGCCUGGCGCAGUUCAGACGCGGCGAUCGGGUCCGCGAAAGGAGGUGCAUCAACAAACAUCUUGCUGCCACUUAUGUCCAAAAAUUUUACAGUUUGUAUGGAAACACAAAAGACCACAAGUCACCAAAUUAAUCUCGAGAAAGAAAAAAUGGAUCUGGCAGAAUCAGACUCUCUUACUUCAGAGCCACAGUCAUCAAAAGAGUAUGGUCCUGGCAGAAAAACAGAAAGACAGACCUGUGGAACCCAAGAGAAAGCCCAGAGAUAAACCCAUACACCCAUGGUCACCUAAUGUAUGACAAAGCAGGCAAGAACUUACAGUGGAGAAAAGACAGUCUCUUCAACGCUGGGGACUCAGGCGCUGACACAUGAUUUAUGAGAAGCGACAUCUUGGAACAAAGACAACCUCCACCCAGAGCCACACUGCUGGUCGAACCGGGCUUGGACCCACAAAACGUGGUGCUGCUCGACCCAUCGUGCUGAAAUGACCUCCGUGGACCCGAAAUACGGAGGCGUCUGGGCGGAUUCUUUACCAGCUGAGCUGGAAGCCCAGUGAAGCGCCAAAGUAAGAACUACUAAGAAAGCAAGAGAAAUAAAAGUGGAAAGAAACUGAGAUGAAACCAGCAGAUGACUCGUAUACCCCAUACAUAAAGGACUCUUGCAGGACAGACUGGCUAAACCCCCUGGAGCGUGCUUUGGAAAAGAGGAGCCCCAUCGCCAAUAAACUCACGACGAGGUGUUCAACCCCUGGAUGAUGUGAAACGUGCAAAUACAGAGCAGCGAGCCAUCACAACACGUGUACCAGAAGCGCUGAGGCAUGUGUGAUCCUAGCUUCCUGACCAGGGAUGGAACCUGCCACCCCUGCGUUGGAAGGUGAAGUCUUGACCACUGGACCGCCAGGGAAGGCCUUCUUACCAGCCCAUCACUGGGGCAAACCAAAUCUCCAGCAACUGCUGACAAGAAACGUCACAGCUGGAGGUGUCCCGGGGACAAACGGUACAACGCAGCAUGAGUGGCUGAAUCACUGCUUCCUGCAGGAGACUGGGAGAGUGUCCCCCGUGUACUGUUCACUGCGAGAAGCCAGAAUGAAUUUGAGCAGCUUGGAAGAAAAUUCCAGAACAAGAGCUCCAGCACCAAUAUCCCGCAUGGCACACGAGCUGAUAACACUGAGUAAAACAGCGCCUCAGAAAAGUUAAGAAUUCUGAAAACUAAUUCAUGAAACAAUUUUGCCCGAAAUAGAUUUUUGUGUCUUAAAAUGCACAGAAGGGAUAAUAUGUAUGUCAAUGAUCUCUAAAAGCAGUUUUUCAGUAACGCAAAACAAAUACUCCUAGGAAACAAAACAAGGGCAUGAAAGGAAUUUAUCUCGGAGAUAAGAAGAAAACAGAAUCUAUCCUAAGGAUGAAUGUUCACUGCAGUAUCAAUGAUAAGACAGAAAUUCUGAAGGCAGCUAAAUGUUUGACUACAUUGCAAUUAUGACAACAGGUAAUAUCAAGGCAGCCAUUUCAAAAUGUUAUUAAAAAUACUAACAGUAUAUAAAAUGCAAAUAUAGUAUUUGAAAAUGUGUUCAUUUUACACACACACACACACACACACACACACAAAUGGCUUCCCUGCUGGCUCAGUCUGCAAUCCAAGAGACCUGGGUUCGACCCCUGGGUUGAGAAGAUCUCCUGGAGGAGGGAAUGGCAACCCACUCCAGUAUUCUUGCCUGGAGAACCCCAUGGACAGUCCACAGGGUCGCAAGGAGUCGGACCCCACUGAGAAACUAAUGCGUACACAUACAUAUAUAACUGGGUGAGAAACCAGAGAGGUAUAAUAAACUUGUGUAAGCAAAUCUGCUAAAACUCUACUUCUGUGAAAUACUACGAAGAGAAUAGGCCUUUUUCCUGUCUUUCAAAUUAUUUGUGUUAUGCACCUUUUUAAUAAAUAAUUACUUUAAAACAGA
Molecule: long non-coding RNA, 4403 nt
Organism: Dama dama (fallow deer)
Lineage: Eukaryota; Metazoa; Chordata; Mammalia; Artiodactyla; Cervidae
Exons: 13
Source: RefSeq, a predicted model, not a curated record